This 500-nucleotide ribosomal RNA is filed under the name uncultured bacterium. Its description in RNAcentral is "partial 16S ribosomal RNA". It matches the Rfam family "Bacterial small subunit ribosomal RNA", at positions 30 to 523 of the family's 1533-position model. The record is from RNAcentral.
AUUGAACGCUGGCGGAAUGCUUUACACAUGCAAGUCGAGCGGCAGCACGGACUUCGGUCUGGUGGCGAGUGGCGAACGGGUGAGUAAUAUAUCGGAACGUGCCCAGUCGUGGGGGAUAACGUAGUGAAAAUUACGCUAAUACCGCAUACGAUCUAUGGAUGAAAGCGGGGGAUCGCAAGACCUCGCGCGAUUGGAGCGGCCGAUAUCAGAUUAGGUAGUUGGUGAGGUAAAGGCUCACCAAGCCAACGAUCUGUAGCUGGUCUGAGAGGACGACCAGCCACACUGGAACAGAGACACGGUCCAGACUCCUACGGGAGGCAGCAGUGGGGAAUUUUGGAGAAUGGACGCAAGUCUGAUCCAGCCAUUCCGCGUGCAGGACGAAGGCCUUCGGGUUGUAAACUGCUUUUGUACAGAACGAAAAGGUUUCUAUUAAUACUAGGGGCUCAUGACGGUACUGUAAGAAUAAGCACCGGCUAACUACGUGCCAGCCGCCGCCGUAA